This is a long non-coding RNA of Halichondria panicea, 7416 nucleotides long. RefSeq lists it as uncharacterized. The record is from RefSeq and is a predicted model, not a curated record. The transcript is spliced from 9 exons. Lineage: Eukaryota; Metazoa; Porifera; Demospongiae; Suberitida; Halichondriidae.
UUUCCCAGUAAGAGGGUGCAGGUAACUAUGUUCUUCCGAAAUCGAAGAAGGAGAUCAGUACCGUCAACGAUUAAACCUCUGAAGACUGAAAAGGCGCACUUAGUGCAAAUCAUUUCAGCAAAACCGGCUGAAGCCGCUCUUGGGCCAAGAAACUGCAUGUUAUCAGUGUGGACGAAUGUGCGUACAAUCGAAACCACGGUUGGUUGUACCAUGUGCGACCAGUUCAACAAGAAAGUGCCUAACAACGCAGCAAUUAACCAGUUAGUAAGAGAAAUUCACCAACAAAGAAGAAAGCGAAUUGGAGAUUCAUCAACAUAUCCUUUCUUUACAAGGGUGUUGUUGGAGUUCACGUUAAUGUGUGGGAAGGAAGCCAUCUCUCGAAUCAACUCUGCUGAAGAUGGAUGGUGAAGUACCCACUGAUUACUCUGAAGAAACUCGGAGCUACAAGGCACUUCUAUUCAUUGAUAAACAAAUCAGUCAGGCCUGCAGGAGUAGGCUCUAAAGCUGCAGCUGCUUUUACUUUGUAUCAAGUCGGCACUGAUAUUGAGGAAGUGACAGCUGAAAAGACCUUUGUAGAGCCAAGGCUUGCAAUUUUUGCUGACAAGAACAUGAAUGGCAUGCAAGCGUUCAUCCUUGGUGAAGGAAAGAUUCUGUUUGAAGUAUUGGGCGACAGUGUUAUUGACUCAAUCAGCUUGUUCGCAACAUACUACGCCUUCUACGUCAGUUACCCCAAGCCAUCACCUGCCUCUGGUCUCCUUCUCUUCAUACAGGAAGUGUUGAUGGGUGUGAAAGAGACAUCUGUAAAAAAUUGCUCGGACAUUGAAGCAUGCAGGACUGCACCUGAAGUGCAUGGAUUCGGCUAAAUUUCUAACAAGGAUUGUUGGUGGUGUCAUGUACAAGAGAAAUCCAGAUGUUGAUGAUCAACUAUAGAAGUGUUCCUACUCAGUUACUGAACUGCUACCCCUUCCUGUUGUCACCACUGGAAGGCAUGGGCCAUAUCGUGAAAACUCUGAGGAAUAGAAUGAGGGAAAAGAGGCAGAAAAAACAGAAGGAAUAACGCCGAUAAAGAUAGAGCACAUCAGUGCAUUUGAAAAACCAAAGAAAAGACGAAAAAUCAAAUUCAAUGUUCAUGAAGGGGAAGACGAAGGCUCUUAUAUCCGCCAUUGCAAAGGCAGAAAGAGAUAUCUGAGCAUCCGAUGCACAUUUCUGCGAUCUUGGAAAAGUUCCCCUUUCUUGGGAACAAGGAAAUUCUGAUCUGGAGGCACCUAAGAAAAGAAAGCAGCCCCACAGAUGCUGAUCUUUGGAAGAAUUUGUUCAAUAAAAUCUUGGAAUGUACCAAGACAUCGAGUACCAGUAGCAUCCACGAAAUUGUUGGGGAAAUUGGACAGUUGGCAAGUAUUAAUGUAUAAUAAUAGGCGCAUUUCAAAAUAGGUGCUCUUAAGCAUUGCUUGAAAAAUAGUACAGUGUCAUUACUUAUGUUUCGCGGACUGACCCAAGACCUUGGAAUAUACCAGCUUUUUGCGAAAAUAUCACAUUACGUGCUUAACGAAGAUUACAAGAUAAUUCUGUUUCAUUAUAGACUGCAUGAUCAUGCAUGACUCACAUAGACAAAAUUACUUCAGAUUCAGAUAAAAAUAGGCAAACGAGAGCAAAAUCUGCUAAGGCCUUAUAAUGAUCAUAGCAGGUGAUCACAAUUUCAUGCAGUAAUGUCCUUUUGAUCAAGUUUUAUUCUAUUCCAGAUGAUAUGGAUUCUCUGAGCAUCAAGUUCAUAGCACUCAUGGCUCUUCUUGUCACCCUUGGGACCAUGCAGCUUGGCCGGAAUAGCGAGGUGGCUGUAGCUCAGGAAAUAGCCGCGGCUUAAAAACGACCUUACCUCGAAUCUAAUGACUACUUUUGCGGUUCUUGUCUCGAGGACAAUGUAGGAUAAUUCUGUUCUCUAUUUAGGUGUAAUCCAAAACACACACCCAAAACGUCAUAUCCGGCCGUAAUAUACGUAUAAAAUUACAUUGAAAACCUUGUUUGGGACAGCCAGCACUGGCCGGUAAACGGAAUAGCGAGUGGCCGUACUUCAGGGUGAGUUUUGUGCAGUAAACAUAUAUAGCUAGCAUUCCGUGCCAAGCCAAAUGGCCGGUAUAUCGAGGUGGCCGUACUUCAGAGAGCCGGAAUAGCGAGAGUCUACUGUAACAAACAUCUACUGACUAAUACAAACACUCUAAUAGAUUGCUGUUGCCAGCUACGAUAAAGUGACUGCUUUCACUAGCUAUGCUGAUACCAAUACUGAUGCUGGCACACAUGAUUAGAUGAGGUAUCUCUUGUAAUAAUAAUUAUGAUGGCAUAGAAAAAAUAACUUCCUUUUUAGGAACAUGCAUGCAGAGUGUGAAUACAUGCAGAUGCCAGCGCUGGGCCCGUGACAGAAAUGUGUGCUGUGGAUACUGAAUCCUUGCCUCCUACGAAGAAAUAUUGCUCUGAGGCUUCGUGAAAACGUUUAACAUUAUAACAACUCGAGUUGAGCUUCCAACACACUUUUCAAGACGAGUGUAAACAGCAAUCGACAACUAUUUACUCAUGGAGCCUAACCAUCAAGCAGCAUUCAUCCGGGAAAUCGUUCAAGCAUACGUUUCACAGCCCACCAUGUACUCAAGAUUAUGCAGUGAUUUCGAAAAAUUGUUGACAAGCAUCCUCUACGAGAUGCAAAACAGUCAAAACCCAUGGGCCACAAUCAGCAGGCAAAUUUCCCAGCGUUAUCGAAAUACUCGUCUAUCAAACUUAUAUUUAUUGCAUGAUCCUCGUGGUAGCUAAGUGUGAAAUUAAUCAUGUCUGUUAGAAGAUCCUAUGGAUUUUGAAAGUGAAUCUCCUGUAAGCUCUCAGUUUCAAUAUGUUGUGGGAGGGUGGUGUGCAUUGCAGAAUUUACCUCAGCAAGAAGUAGAUGUAGAGCUGACCAGAAACAGUUUCUGUUUGAUACCUCCUUGAUAUUUCUUCCGUCAUCAAGCAGACAAGUAUCGAGCUCAAAAUUUCAAAGAAGAGGUGCAAAACAGUAACGGAGAUGGUAUUCACAAACCACUCGAAAAUCCCAUGUGAGAGCUGAGGCCGCAGAAACAUCUGAAGGCAAGACUUGAUAAAAUAAGAACAAUACUUUUGGCAAGUCUGCGUGUAUAGUAACGUUCUUUUCGUCAGCAUAAUUAUUAUAGAUAUAUAGCUUAUUAUAUUGUUUUACAUGCACAUUGUAUUGUAAAAUUGGAAGAGUUACGACUUGUGGCUCAAGAAAUGGCCAAAAAGUGGCAAAGGCAAAUGCAAGUUGAUUGUGUAAUCUAUACUGUUUAUCAGUUUAAACCUAUGCAUUGCAAGGUAGCUGCUUCUCAAAAUAGAAUAAAAACGGAAGGAUAUGACAAAAGAAGAAGUGCAUGACCACUCAAUUAAGGGUCUGGCAUAAAACAAAAAAAGAGCUUCCCAACACAAAACGAAAUGACUACUAUAACCGCGGUGGUGCACCUCAGGUUAAUUAUGUAGUUUGGUUGUACCAAGAGUUUAAAGUAGUAUGGGCAUCAUUAUUAUGGAAACCAUUAUACAAGAUAGUUUGUCUCAUGCAUGGUAAGUUUUUUGUCUGAUAUUUUCUGAACUAUAAACUUGUGAUACCUCCAUAGAGCAUAGUUCUCUCCUUGCCAACACAGCUUUUUUUGUCGUAUGGAGUCUAUGAUCUAGUGUAUGUAUCGCAAUGAGCUCUCAAGCUGAUCCAUCCUCAACCUUUAGAGGCGACCAAAAGUAGAUGAAUGCAUCCAAAUCAAUUGUGAAAUUAUGCGCACUCUUGUAUGUUUGUUCUUCAGUCGAUAUGGCAAGCCAGACAGCCUGAGGCAGGUCACAUGCACUGUGAAGUAAAUUAAUGGCUCGACAACUAAUUGUAAAGUAUCCUUUCAUUAAAGAUUUCGAGCUAGGUAUGGAUAUUUCACUAACACCAGUUCUAUCAUUUCAACCGUUCUGGAUGAAUUUAGGAUACACAAUUUAUUUACAUUUGAGAUAUUAUACUGAUGAUUCCUCUUACUUGUUAAGCAUCAUGACUGAAGCAACUCCUCGCAUAGAGAAAGAUUUUCCGGUUGAUAUAGUCCAAAGAGGAUAUUUUGGGAGCAGCAGCUUCAGUACAACUCUUUAGCCAACAAAAGAGGCACCCCCUGCAUGGUAAUCCGGGUUCGUUUAAAUAUCUCUCUUCAACAGCAUAUCAAGCUGUUCGUGAAUCUGGAAUAUCAAAUUGCCUUCGGAGCGCACUGUCACAGAUUACACCCACUGGACCACCCCAUGCAUACUCACUUUUAAAAUCAUAAUAAUAUAAUUAUUAUUACAAAAUGUAUUACGGGAAAUUUUCGUGAGGUGCAAAAUUUCGUGUUUUUCAAGGGCAGUAUAGUCUAUAGAGUUGAGCGGAGUCAACCAACGUGCAUCAGUAUCAUGCAGGGCUGCUGCUCUGUUCCCUGCUAAGUUUCAAGGAAAACACAAUUUUCUAUGUUGCACGAUAUCGCCAAGGUUGUAUACAAGGGACAAAAGUCAAUGCAAGUUUCAAGGAAAACACAAUUUUCUAUGUUGCACGAUAACGCCAAGGUUGUAUACAAGGGACAAAAGUCAAUGCUAUUUAAGGAGAUGGUUAGUGUCACACACACUCAACAAGGAGUUGCAGGUGAAUCAACUGUUGAGCCAAAAGCUAACGUGUUGGCACUAUUACUUAGGAUAGGUGGUACUCCUGGUAGCAUGUAUAUUGCCAGCAACAUGUCAACACUCCUCCAUGACCCUGACGACACGUUUAACAUGGACACUGCUGUUGUAAAUCUACCUCAAGCUGUGGUUGACAAAUGGUGAUGAAGGAACCUAAGGCCGAACAACAGGGGUGCCCUCUUCCACCCAGGAGCUGAGCUUAUAUACUCUAAGAAAACAUAUCAAGCUAUUGAUAAUGGCAAUAUCACUGGCAAAUCAAAGCUCCGUCUCCUCAUGCCGAGAGAGGCGAUGUAAUUAUAUAGCCUUAACGGCGAAAAUACAUCCACUCCCUAUGUGGUAAUCGCAUGUGCCGAGUAGCUCCAGCUGAAGGAAAAACCAUCCAUUCCGGGAGUAUUGGGUGAUUGAAAAUGAGGCAUACUACACAUUAUUAAUGGCAUGUAUGCAUGCAGGACUGGGUGAGAAAGUACAUGAGCCAGAUGUUUCGAAAUCUUCGCCAGGUUUCUGAAUCAUCCAAAAUUGGCCAUUCAAGCAAGAAACUCAGCUCAUACGAAUUUGCAAAGCUACCAAUUCCAGUAUAACAGCAGGAGACUGAAGACGUGGAAAGGACUAACGAAAAUAAUUAUGCCAACAUGCAUAAGUACACACAACAUUGUGAAUGGUCCACAAAUUAAAUUAUUAUGCAAUGAUGCAGCCCUCAGUUGCACACUUAUACUGCCUCUAUUAGUGAAGUGUGUGAGACAUGUUGUGGUAUAACUAUCAAAGACUGCUGUGAUGAUUUAUUCUGUAUAUAGAGCGCAGAAUACGGCAUUAAUAACGGAUUUGUUCUUUAUUUGAAGGAAACGAAAAACUUCAACAUCAAUAUAAUUUGGGGAUUAGCAAUGCCAUUAUAAUAAUCAUAGCGAGACUAUAGAAGCAUCCAUAUACUUUCAGAAAUGGCUCACGAGUACCAGUUUGAAUAACUGUGAUACAGAAUGGCAACUCCUUCUGAGGACACACCUCAGCGUCCAGCCCGGACCCCUGAUCCUGCAGUGCAAGGUAUUAAAGUACUUCCUGUCUCCUGAAUCCUUUCCUAGUGGAGACAGAUUCUGAUGACGAAAGUAGUAAUGAAGACUAUAUGUGCCUCCGGCUCCUGCUCAACAGCGUGGUACGUAGAGGCAGGGGCCGUGGUUGUUGCCGUGGUGCAGGUGCCGGCAGAAGUGUAUAAUUAUGUAAGUAUUUAAGUUUUAUAAUAGUGUUGUUUGAACGAAUCAUAGAUAACAUCUUUUUUGACACACCUUGUUUUUUGUCUCUAUAUAGCCCAAAACGAUAUCUAUAGCUUGUCCAGGUAUAAUUAAAAAUAAACGUUUUUUGAUGCCUUGGAACGCUUGUUUGAAGAAAUGAAAUGGGGUGCACUUCCAGCCUCUACUGGAAAAGGACGACCAACUGUCGACUAUUGACUCUCAGAACAUAAGUGAAUGUUAUUGUUAUAUUCUAAUUUCAUUACCGUAUAGCGGGUAAGUUUCGUGGGGUAAAAAUUCGUUCAACUUGAGAAACGGUAGUUUUCGUGAGUAAAAAUUUCGUUUAGUCUCGUGGCUGCACAGCAUUCCUACGUUGAGAUAAGCCACGCCUACGAUAAAAUUUCGUGGAGGUCAGCCUGCCCACGAAAAUAACGAAUAUUUUACCCCACGAAAGUUACCCGCUAUACGGUAGUACAACAAAAGCAGCUAUUUUAUUCACAUCAGUUGUUCAUAUAAUGUAUUCUAAUUUCAUUAGUACAACAAAAGCAGCUAUUUCUUUCACAUCAGUUGUUCAUACACAUUUACGAGUGCAAUUCAAUAUAAAUAUACCUCAAAACAUCAUGACAGCAAGAUAAUCAAACUGUAAAAAAAAAUGUUGGCUGCUAAGAACAAUUCACAAGAUCAUUUCUUCAUUCUGUCAUAAUGGAUAGCGAAGAAGACGCUGCACCAGCUCCUCUGCCACCAGCCGCAGGACUGCCUCAACGUCCACCACCACGUCUGUGGCAUUGGUCCAGGGCGAGGGCCAGACCCGCCAGGGCCAGAGGUUGAGGAGAAGGAGACCUAUAGGAGGCAGAGGGAGAGGACGAGGAGGAGAACGAGGAACUGGACGUGGAAGGGAUUUAUUGGGAGCACCAUGGGCCACCCACACUUCCCCAAAUGUGGCCACGUCCAUUUCCAGAAGAAGGAAUCGUAAAUGUCAGUUUGGUCUAGCUGUUGUGAAUAUCUGUUUCAUAUGCACAUUACUUCCCUUACAGAUUUAUCACGGCCAAGUGAACUUCUACAAUUAGAAUUAUCUACUCUUAAUGUGUUAAUAAUUAAGCCACAAAAUAAUAAUGCGAUUGAUUGAUUGAAUGUAGCUGCGAUUGGCCACAAAUUGAUUAUCCGCCCCCAUUAACGUAGAUGAUUAAUUUUCAAAGAAAUCCAAGUGCUGGUGGCUACAAAAGUGUUGCCACUACCCCUUCCUGUUGUCGCCACUGGAAAGAACUGUAAGUCAACAAUGUAGUUUUAGUCAGUAUAGCUACGGGCCAUAUCGUAAAACCGUGGCUAUGAUAGCCUCCAUGCAGUCAAUGUUUGCGGCCUUCCCCGCACGUGCUCCACACCUGGCGAUACCAAGAUUUUAUUGUUUGCUUCAGCCAACGUUUUCAAACCACUGUGUGACUCCAAAAAUUAUUGUGCUUCUGCUUUUAAAAGGUAUACAUAAAAUGGCGACCAACAUCACUUUCAC